This 537-nucleotide ribosomal RNA is filed under the name uncultured bacterium. Its description in RNAcentral is "bacterial SSU rRNA". It matches the Rfam family "Archaeal small subunit ribosomal RNA", at positions 725 to 1257 of the family's 1478-position model. The record is from RNAcentral.
AGCGAAUAGAUACCCUGGUAGUCCCAGCUGUAAACGAUGCAGACUCGGUGAUGAAAUUGGCUUAUUGCUAAAUUCAGUGCCGCAGGGAAGCCGUUAAGUUUGCCGCCUGGGGAGUACGGUCGCAAGACUGAAACUUAAAGGAAUUGGCGGGGAGCACCACAGGGGGUGAAAGCCUGCGGUUCAAUUGGAGUCAACGCCGGAAAUCUUACCGGGGGCGACAGCAGAGUGAAGGUCAAGCUGAAGACUUUACCAGACAAGCUGAGAGGAGGUGCAUGGCCGUCGCCAGCUCGUGCCGUGAGGUGUCCUGUUAAGUCAGGUAACGAGCGAGAUCCCUGCCUCUAGUUGCUACCAUUAUUCUCAGGAGUAGUGGAGCUAAUUAGAGGGACCGCCGUCGCUGAGACGGAGGAAGGUGGGGGCUACGGCAGGUCAGUAUGCCCCGAAACCCUCGGGCCACACGCGGGCUGCAAUGGUAAGGACAAUGAGUUUCGAUUCCGAAAGGAGGAGGCAAUCUCUAAACCUUACCACAGUUAUGAUUGA